Molecule: ribosomal RNA, 293 nt
Filed under: uncultured bacterium
Lineage: Bacteria
Description: partial 16S ribosomal RNA
Rfam family: Bacterial small subunit ribosomal RNA
Source: RNAcentral
GUGCCAGCCGCCGCGGUAACACGUAGGCACCAAGCGUUGUCCGGAUUUAUUGGGCGUAAAGAGCUCGUAGGCGGUUUGGUAAGUCGGGUGUGAAAACUCUGGGCUCAACCCAGAGAGGCCACUCGAUACUGCUAUGACUUGAGUACGGUAGGGGAGUGGGGAAUUUCUAGUGUAGCGGUGAAAUGCGCAGAUAUUAGAAGGAACACCAGUGGCGAAGGCGCCACUCUGGGCCGUAACUGACGCUGAGGAGCGAAAGCAUGGGUAGCAAACAGGAUUAGAAACCCUUGUAGUCC